This 985-nucleotide ribosomal RNA is filed under the name Stenotrophomonas sp. BJS3. RNAcentral describes it as "bacterial SSU rRNA". The stretch from base 420 to 901 matches the Rfam family "Bacterial small subunit ribosomal RNA", at positions 903 to 1387 of the family's 1533-position model. The record is from RNAcentral. Lineage: Bacteria; Pseudomonadati; Pseudomonadota; Gammaproteobacteria; Lysobacterales; Lysobacteraceae.
AAUAUCGGGCAUGUAGAUUGUCUUUCAGUUACUGUGAUUUAGAAAGGGGGCUUGGAUGCUAGCUGAUUAGCUCGUGUUGUCUAGCAGCGAUAAGUAACUGGUUAUUGUCUAUAAAUAAAGCUAUUGCUAGCACUGGUGAAUAACGAUGAAGGGGUAUCGACGAGAAAAGAGAGAGUGAAGUGCAAGAAUGAGUAACAGUGUACGCGUAGAGAUCGAUUAGAUACAUACGCUCGAAAAAAUUUACAAGGGCCGACACGUACGAUUAGGCGGGAUAUGCUGAGGAGCAUGCAAGAUUAGAUAGAGUGGUAGUCCGCGCCAGGAAAUGCGCGAAGGGGAUGUCGGGUACAAUGUGCCAGGUUGUAUGGAAGUUUACGCAAUAAGUCAGCAGUCUUUGGACUACGGUUACAAGGAACAUUCUCAAAGGAACUUACGGGGGUACUCUCAAGGGGUGGAGUUGCUGUUGUAAUUAGCAGCAACGCGACCAUGCUUACCAGGCCUUGUGGUCCAGGUAACUUUCCAGAGAAGUAUGAAUGCGGUCAGGAGCAGUCACUCAGGUGCUGCAAAGCUGUUGUCAGCGGUAUUCGUGAGAUCCUGGGUUAAAAAGGUUACGAGCGCAACCCUGGGAAAUCCAGCCAGCGAAAUGAUGCGGAACUCUAAGGAGUCCACCGGUGUCAAACCGGAGGAAGGUGGAGAGGACGUCAAGUCGUCAUGUCCCUUACGGCCAGGGCUACACACGUACUACAAUGGUAGGGACAGAGGGCUGCAAGCCGGCGACAGGAGCCAAUCCCAGAAACCCUAUCUCAGUCCGGAUUGGAGUCUGCAAUUUGACUCCAUGAAGUCGGAAUCGCUAGUAAUCGCAGAUCACCCUUGCUGCGGUGAAUACUUUCCCGGGCCUUGUUCACUCCCCCCUUUUCUCCAUGUGUGUUUUCUCACCAGAUUCAGUUAGUCCUCAGUCAGUAGGACGAAGGAAAGGUAGAGUCGUGUA